Molecule: ribosomal RNA, 232 nt
Filed under: uncultured bacterium
Lineage: Bacteria
Description: partial 16S ribosomal RNA
Rfam family: Bacterial small subunit ribosomal RNA
Source: RNAcentral
UGAGGAAUCUGUCCAUCGGCGGGGGAUAGCCGGCCCAACGGCCGGGUAAUACCGCGUACGUCGGCGGGAGCGCAUGCUCCUGCCGGGAAAGCAGCAAUGCACCGAUGGAGGAUCUCGCGGCCUAUCAGCUUGUUGGUGAGGUCACGGCUCACCAAGGCGACGACGGGUAGCCGGCCUGAGAGGGCGAUCGGCUACACUGGGACUGAGACACGGCCCAGACCUCCGUAGGAGG